RNAcentral lists this ribosomal RNA (253 nucleotides) under uncultured microorganism. RNAcentral's name for it is "partial 16S ribosomal RNA". It matches the Rfam family "Bacterial small subunit ribosomal RNA", at positions 524 to 776 of the family's 1533-position model. The record is from RNAcentral.
UACGUAGGGGGCGAGCGUUACCCGGAUUCACUGGGCGUAAAGGGGGCGUAGGUGGCCGUGUAAGUCCGGUGUGAAAAGCCACGGCUCAACCGUGGGACUGCGCUGGAAACUACACGGCUUGAGGACGGUAGAGGGAGACGGAACUGCUGGUGUAGGGGUGAAAUCCGUAGAUAUCAGCAGGAACGCCGGUGGGGAAGCCGGUCUCCUGGGCCGUUCCUGACGCUGAGGCCCGAAAGCUAGGGGAGCAAACCGG